Molecule: ribosomal RNA, 620 nt
Filed under: Scolecobasidium tshawytschae
Lineage: Eukaryota; Fungi; Ascomycota; Dothideomycetes; Venturiales; Sympoventuriaceae
Description: eukaryotic LSU rRNA
Rfam family: Eukaryotic large subunit ribosomal RNA
Source: RNAcentral
UUUAUGCAUAUCAAUAAGCGGAGGAAAAGAAACCAACCGGGAUUGCCCCAGUAACGGCGAGUGAAGCGGCAACAGCUCAAAUUUGAAAUCUGAGGUCGUUUGGGCCUUCGAGUUGUAGUUUGCAGAGGGAGCCUCGGAGGGCGUGCCGGCCCAAGUGCCUUGGAACAGGAUACCGCAGAGGGUGAGAGUCCCGUAUCCGGCCGGUGGCGCGCUCCGUGUGAGGCCUCUUCGACGAGUCGAGUUGUUUGGGAAUGCAGCUCCAAGCGGGUGGUAAAUUCCAUCUAAAGCUAAAUACUGGCCAGAGACCGAUAGCGAACAAGUAGAGUGAUCGAAAGAUGAAAAGCACUUUGAAAAGAGAGUCAAACAGUACGUGAAAUUGUUGAAAGGGAAGCGCAUGGGGGCAGACUUGGCCGCGGGGUUCAGGGUGCGUUCUCGCGCCUGCACUUCCCCGCGGACAGGCCAGCAUCGGUUCUGGGGGCCGGACAAAGGGGCCGGGAAGGUAGCCGCCUUCGGGCGGUGUUAUAGCCCGGCGCGCAAUGCGGCCACCUGGGACCGAGGACCGCGCUUCGGCAAGGAUGCUGGCGUAAUGGCCUCAUGCGGCCCGUCUUGAAACACGGACC